Non-coding RNA from Caenorhabditis elegans, 145 nucleotides. The record is from Ensembl. Lineage: Eukaryota; Metazoa; Nematoda; Chromadorea; Rhabditida; Rhabditidae.
GAUUUACGAAAUUUUGAUUCGGACAGGUAUAUGCGACAGGAAUCUGAGCAAAUCGAAUCUGCAAGAGAGUGCAGUGUACUAUGAGAGCGCAGCUUGAUAGUGAUCUCACUUAGAAAACAAACAAGCUGCUCCUGGCUUUUGCCGA